Molecule: ribosomal RNA, 460 nt
Filed under: uncultured bacterium
Lineage: Bacteria
Description: partial 16S ribosomal RNA
Rfam family: Bacterial small subunit ribosomal RNA
Source: RNAcentral
CCUACGGGAGGCAGCAGUGAGGAAUAUUGGUCAAUGGGCGCGAGCCUGAACCAGCCAAGUAGCGUGAAGGAUGACUGUCCUACGGGUUGUAAACUUCUUUUAUAGAGGAAUAAAGUGAGGCAUGUGUGCCUUUUUGUCUGUCCUUUAUGAAUACAGAUCGGGUAACUCCGUGCCAGCAGCCGCGGUAAUACGGAGGCACCGAGCGUUAUGCGGAUUUAUUGGGUGUAAAGGGAGCGUAGAUGGGUUGUUAAGUAAGUUGUGAAAGUUUGCGGCUUAACCGUAAAAUUGCAAUUGAUACUGGCAGUCUUGAGUACAGGAGAGGUAGGCGGAAUUCGUGGUGUAGCGGUGAAAUGCGUAGAUAUCACGAAGAACUCCGAUUGCGAAGGCAGCCUACUAAACUGCCACUGACAUUGAUGCUCGAAAGUGUGGGUAGCAAACAGGAUUAGAUACCCUAGUAGUC